UUUCCCUUAAGUUUGAAUGGUUUUGGAUGUUUUUGGGUGAAAAAUGUUCAUGGAAAUUUUUUUUGAGUUUUUCAUGAGUGUUCUUCAUUGUUCUUGACAUUUUUGCCAAGAACAAAAAGUUCGGUGUUUUGAUUUAUUUCAUAAAGUUUAAUUUUUUUUUUUAUUUUUUUUCAAAUGUUUAAAUGUGUUAGAUAUUUAUUUAAAAAGGUGUAAGAAAUAUUGGUGGGUGUGUAAGGAUUAAUUCCCUUUCACACACACCACUUGCAUGACAUUUAUGUCAUGCACCACUUGCAUGACUUUAUGUCUAAAACUACAAAUCAACACACACAUCACUCCCUUCUCUCCAAAACCGGCCACCCUACAAGUGGGGUGUUUUUGGGGCUUUUAUGCAAUUACAUAAAGUUUUGGUACUUUUGUGUAAUUUGUAGUUUGACCCAAAAGUUUACGUAUUUACGUAAAGGCCCAAAAUCAUUAAAGGACAAAUUGUUUUGUUCCUUUAAUGAAGUUUUUGAAUUUGUUGAAAUUUUUGGGUUCUAGUUGUAAUUACAUGAAGUAGUGAAAUUUUGUGUUUUUACAAAGUGACCCCAAAAGUUUAUGUUUUUGCAACAUAGCCCAAAAAGUUGAGGUUAUUGCAUUUUGGCCCAAAUUAAGUUGAGAACAAAAUGGUUUUGUCUCUUUAAAUGAGAAUUGGAUUUUCAUUUCAUUUAGCUCCAUUUAAAUCAAU
Molecule: long non-coding RNA, 724 nt
Filed under: Malus domestica (apple)
Lineage: Eukaryota; Viridiplantae; Streptophyta; Magnoliopsida; Rosales; Rosaceae
Description: long non-coding RNA (MDOM_LNC009342)
Source: RNAcentral